This 26653-nucleotide long non-coding RNA is filed under the name Solanum lycopersicum (tomato). RNAcentral's name for it is "long non-coding RNA (SLYC_LNC000292)". Lineage: Eukaryota; Viridiplantae; Streptophyta; Magnoliopsida; Solanales; Solanaceae. The record is from RNAcentral.
UUAAAGGUUCAUAAUCUUGAUAAAACAUUAAUCUUUGGUAAUACUCCUUGCUGGUUCACGUUGAUUGUUCUAUUGAGUUAUAAGAAAUGAUUUUAAUUGCAUAUGGUUGCUCAUAAUAUUCUGCUCGUGCAUAGAGUCAUUUAUCAUUUCACCGAGUCCCGGGCCGGGUAAUGUUCGUGCGGAGUUUCUUGCAUAUGUCACCGAGUCCCUCACUAGAGGGCCGGGUAUGUAUAUUAUAUAUAUGAUUGGUGAUGAGGAUGGUUAUGAUGAUGAUGAUGACGGAGAUGACGUGAUGAUUAUUUUGCCGAGCCCCUUACUAGGGAAGCUGGGCACCUUAAAUGUUAAAUAUAUGCAUGAUUUUCACUUAAAAAGUAUAUGUGUAGCGAUAUUUUGUUUCGACUUGCCACAUUGGUAUCCUGUCAUCUUUACCUUAUGCUUUACAUACUCAGUACAUUGUCCGUACUGACCCCCCUUUCCUCGGGGGGCUGCGUUUCAUGCCCGCAGGUGUAGACGCGCAGUUCGGUGAUCCUCCCGCCUAGGAUAUCUACUCUGCUGAUUGGGAGAGCUCCACUGUUCCCGAGCCCAGUCGUUUUGGUACAUAACUUUUGUGUAGUCUUUUGCUCGUCUAUGGGUAUGGUGGGGCCCUGUCCCGUCGAGUUUCACUAAUGUACUCUUAGAGGUCUGUGGACAUUAUGUGGGUUGUAUAUAUAUGUUUUGGAUAAUGGUCUGGACAUGGUUUGUUUGGGAUGUCCGCUUGUACAGGGGUAGCCUUGUCGGCUGCGUACAUCAUUAUGCUUUGAAUAGUGGCGGCCUUGUCGGCUCGCGUAUGCUGUUAUGGUUGAAUGGUUAUGACUCCUUAUGAGACAGGUCCUCUUAUAUAUAUAUAUGACGUUGGGGUUGGCUUGAUUUGAUUAAAUUCCAUAUUGUCUUAGUUUCAGUUGGUCAUACUUAGCAGGUUUGUAUGUGGGUGUCCAAAACGGGCACUAAUCACGGCCUAUCGGGUUGGGUCGUGACAAUAAGACCUUAGAAUCAUGAACAAAAUUUAGAUAUACUCGAACGAAAAUUUUGAAAUUUGCUCACCCAAACCCGAGAGCUCCUUGUCAAACACAUAGUUUAUUUUUCAAUACUUUUCUUCUUCUUAUUGUGUAGUUCAAUAAUAUCCUUUAAUCCUAUUUUUUACAUACAAAUGCAAUGAUUCAUUUUAAUCUCAUACCUUCAAUGAAUAAAAUAAGUAAUCGAAAAGACUAGAGAAAUGAUUUGGCUACCAUUACUACAAUUUAUUCUUUCAAUUCUUGUUAAAUUGUGCAUGAAAUCUUUAUAAGCCAAUCUGUGUUGGCUAGGCAACUUAUUUCGUCCUUUUGAUAUUAGGGAGAUUAUGGGAUUGAUCAUCCAUAUUUUUUUACUGCCCUUUAUUAGAAUAAUAAAGAAGUUUGUAUAAACCAAUUUUUUAUUUAGCUAUUAUGCCCAUUAUUUGAUCAUUUGUAUAACGAGAAUAUAUUGCAGCAUAUAUCUUUAUUUGGCACAAGACAACCACUUGAUUAAACUUUAUUCUUAUCAACCAUUGAUGAUUUGAUAUACUUAAGCUCUUACUUUCUUAGAUCACUUUGAACUUACAUUGCUUCUUCUUUUUUCUUACAUUCUUAAAGAAAUCUUUAGCAUUAACAUCAUAUGAGUCAAUCUGAAAUCUAGUGUCUUCCCCACACCAAAAAGGGGUGGUUUACCGAUCAAAGUGAACCUAUAUCAUGUAAGGUAUAUAUGAAAUCCAGCGUCUACCCCACACUGAAAAGCGGUGGUUCACUGGCUAAAGUGAAACAAAGUACAGUGUAUUUCCCACACCGAAAAGUGGUGGUUCAAGCCUAAUGUGAAAAUAAUUCAUUCUUUGAGCAUUUAAGAGACAUACAUCAUGUAUGCUAUGCGUGAAAUCCGGUGUCUACCCUACACCGAAAAGGGGUGGUUUCAUCGACCAAAGUUAACCAGCAUCAUACCUAGCUCUUUUAGGUGGAAUCCACUAGCUAAUUCCUAUGCUGAGAACAUAGUUCGAACAAUAGGUGACAUAUGGAGACUACUUAUCCACGUUGGUGGUAGCCUCAUAUCAUGAGGAUUACAUGUGCUGGCACAACCUCCUUCAAAGUCUAUCAUUGCUUUGCUCAACUUCUUUUUAUCUACAUCUUUUAUAGUUGACUCAAACAUUAUCGAAGCUUGCUUCUAGUUAUUAGCUUUACUUAACUCUUAGGAUAACCGUUCAUCCCUUUCUUUACUUGAUGAAAUGUGAAUUUAACCUUACAUUAUGAUCUUCGUGUUAAGGAGACCCGUCUCAUGAUUAUUAACACGCUUUUAUGUUAGUAUCUCUAGCAUAGUGGUCUAGGUGUGAGUGAGACUUGUAUAACUUUUUUUAACACCUCAUUCUUGUAAAUUUCAUAAUUAUUGAACUUUUAAUUAUGUUAUUACUCACCUUAUCUUGUACAUUAUAAACUUUGUUCAAUGUACUUACUUAUAUUCAUAGUUCAUUUUGAAAGGGUAUGUUUGGACUUGUCCCAAUGAUUGGCGUACCCUUUGUUAUGAAUUCAAAGUAACAUUGGUCAUGAUUAAUUUGGUUUAAAUUAGUCAUUAUCCAUUUAAUCAUAAUGUCUUUUAAAUAACUUUGUAAGCCAAUUUUAUUCACUUUUGGGACAAUGUGUUAUUAGCUAAUUUAUCGGUACAAUCAAAACUUUCAUGUAAAAAAAUUUCAUUAUGUUAUCACUAGCAACAUUAAUUAAUCCCAUGAAUGUAUUAUAGUUAUACCCUCAACAUAAUAAAGUCUAAUUUAACAGAAGCUAAAUUCAUAAUAAAUAUCUAAGAAACUUCAUAUUCUCAAACACAAUUAAGCAUUACAUCUUACUUUAUUUCUUAUAACUAAAACCCUAAUUAUAUGAAUAAAGUAUAUAGGCCUCAUUAGUCAUUAACAAAUCAAGAACCUACAAAAAAUGAUCAGUUAGCACCACAUACCAACAACAUGUUCUAGAUUAUAUCUAUAUACUUAUAGAAGCGAACACAAGGAUAACUAGGGAGAUGGACGUUCAACAAUAUCAUUGGGAACAUACCUGGUUUCGACAUUAAUGAAUUCAAAACGUUUCAAAGGCCUCUUGGAGAAAGAUUCCCAGGAGAAAAAACCCAUACCUUAUGUAGAAUUGAAACUAAAAAGAUCACCUUGCACGAAAACCAUGAAGAAAACCUUAAAAUCCCCUAAGAGAACUUUUCUAUUUUUCUAUGUUUUGCGCACUGUUUAUUCUCACAAUUGCGUACAAUUUUGAGUCGGGAAUUUUUUUAAUGUUUUUACACGAGUAGAAGUUUUAGAAUCUGAUAUUCACUAAUUCAAUUUAGGGUGAUUAAGUUAAUUAUAUAAAUAAUUUAGUUAAUUACAAAAAUGCCCCUACUAGAUUGACUAAAAAUAGGAUAGCAUUUAACUUAGUCAAACCUGAAAUUUUUCGUAAGAGUUUUGGCCUUUCUUGUGAAUUUUCCUUAAUUAUUUAAUUCCUAAAUUUAAUUAAUUAAGGGACAAGGAGUGAUUUUUAAUGCACCCGAAAAUUAAUUUGGACCAUAACUAACCAUUUUGACGAUCCUAAGUUAGGUAGUAAGAUGUUACUAGGUUAGUGUAACCCAAUUAAGUUUUAGGUUGUCGGGUGCACUAGAUAGUUUAUUUUUGUUUUUUCUAGUUUAUUUAGAUAAUUAGGUCAGUUAGUUAGAGUCUAGUGUUUUUUAGAUAGUUAGGCCCUACAUGGGUGGACCCUUGCGCAUGCUUGUCCCCUAACUACCCUAAGCUAAUUCCGUUAGGGUUGUCCCCUCCCUUUUAUGGCUUUAAACACGUGUUGCUUGUAAUUUACCAACUAAAUAUUCUUGAUUGUUCAUUUGGAAUGUUUACUUUUUUCCUAAGAAUCCUCACUAUGUCCUUAGGCAAUACUUAAUCUACAUGUCCAUUUUAAUUGGUCAUGUGCUAUGGUGCCGAGGCUUGACGCAUUGUUGCCUCACACCUAAUGUACAAAUGCUAGAAAAUAUAUUUUUUUGGCUUAGGUUCAUAAUUGUUGGUACAUUUCAUGGACAAGCUUGUUAAUACAUUUAAAAUUGGCUAACACCUUUAAAGUCAAUAUUUUGUAAUAUGCCCAAUAUUUCAAAAUGAUUGGCAUUGGGAUGCAUAUUUAACCCCAAUACCUAUUCUUAAAACAUAAUAGUCUCUUAACUAAGACAGUACAUUUUCUUGAAUGUUACAACAAGAUCAUCACAUAAUCACAAUUAACAAUAAUUAAAGUAAAGAGUUCAGAUCACAAGACUUAUCAAGUCUCCUUCAUCAUCUAUCAUCAUGGUCUUACCAUCAACCCUUUAAAUGAACCCAUUAUGGGUGUAAUAUCUUCACACAACAAUAACCAACAUGAUAAAAAGGACAAUUGAGUUACUACAUCAUAUUCCAUCACUAGUUCGUUGCUUAAGAUAAGAGACUUAGGUCAAAUUCAUAAUCUAUUUCGCAACAUAGUUCAAUUACUCAAGAACUAUCAUUAUAGGACUAAAAUUCAUUUUAAAAUAUUCAUAGUUAUUACAAUGACAUUAUAGGAUUGUAACUCAAUAAAUAACAAGUCCAUUGAACCAAUACUACGCAAAUUACAUCAAGAUCACAACCUAGGGUUAAGGAGGAAAGGUCAUCUUCUAGAAACUAGACUAAUACAUAAUUGAGUAGUGUAACAUAGUCAUAAAUAAUCAUUAUAAUCAAUACAAACCAAAGAAAAUAUAAACAAAUCAGAUUGAAACAUUAAUUUCAAGAUUGGAAUAAACCCGAAGUAGCAAUGGUUAGAGGAAUCCCAUACAUUAAUGUUUGGUGAAUGUUUAUGGAUAAACAUUUGUGAUUUCAGCCCUAAAACCCACCUUGACCUUGUCUUCUAUUGUGUUCUUCAACUUGGGAGAGAGAAAGUAGGGAGAAGGAAGAGAGUUUGGGUUUGGCAAUUAUGAGGGCUUAGGUCAGUUUUAUUAAGUUAGGGUCUUUAUAUAGGUUGUUAAUUAACUUAAUUAUACCUCCCAUAAGCCCUAAUUUACCUUAUAACUAAGCCAAAUAAUUAAAUUAAUUAAAUAAAAACGUGUAGCAAAAUAGUGGCUCUAAAGACGAGACCACGAUCGAUGGAUCGUGGGUCCAUCGACGGGCACUGUUCAUCUCCGUGUUACCCACUUGUUGAUAAGUUCAUAGACUGUCCAUUUGCAGACAUCAAAAAAUUUGUUUUAAGUGUCUAUCAACGGAAGCUGUCCACGCCCCGUCGAUUGGUAAUGGAUUGUGGGUUGCAUCUGUUGGUGGACAAUGCCUUGGUGAAACCAUUGACACCAAAAUGAAAGGGUCCUCCUCAAGGUCCCUUGCUUGGUCCUUAGAUAGUUGUACCCAGACGUUUCAUCAACGAAUCAUCUCGAAUACAUGUUAGACACCCUUCCACCAAUUUUCAUCAUUUUCUAGAUCAUAAAAUUUAGUAAAAUAGGCUAAGGCACACUAGAACUCCAUUGAACUAGCUUCAGGACGUCGGUUUCACAUCCGGGUUUGCCCCCUAAAUGUAAUCGCUGUCAUUGUCCUCUUUGAGGACUAAAACUAGACUCUUAGUUUACAUCAUUAAAUUCAUAGGUCAAAUUAUGCAAAAAAAAUUAAACUUUUCAUUAGUUCUACUUGGAGGUUUACAUAGACCUCUACUUACACAUAAUAUAUAUAUAUAUAUAUAUAUAUAUAUAUAUAUAGUAUAGAUAGACCUUUCGUAUCGGAAGAUUACUUACACUUCUACUUUUUUUGCACAUAAGUAUCUAAAAUAUAACAAAGACAUAAUAGUAAUAAUAGUUGUAUAAUCUCAUAACCAUCAAAUAAGGUUGUAAGAACUUGGGCAUAACCCAUACAUCAAGUAAAAUUGCCUCUAUAUAAUGUUUCAUACUAAAUGAAUAUAAAGAACCAUAGAAGUCUUUAACUAAAGUAACUCCAUAAGCUAGAUAGUGACAUCGCCUUCACAAAUUGAGGACCUACUCUACAUGGAUGAAUACGAGAUCCAGGCAUUCCUCAAGUCGUCUUCGAAACACCUUAAAGAGCGGAACCUAAAGUGUUGGGGAAAAGGAAUAAAUGGGGUUAGUACACCACUUAUACAAAGUAGGAGACCAUAUUCACACAUACUUUGAAGACAUUCAACGAAAAGGGACAUUUCAUAAAGUAUGCAUUUUUCAUUAAAAAACAUUAAGCAUAUUCAACAACACCAUACCAAUCAUUAAUGCAUGUUCAUUAAGCCAUGGGCAUUUACAUAACAAAAACAACAAAAUAAAAUCAAGUCUAGUCCAUAUACUUAUCAUAUGAUUUAAUACCUAUCAAAGUAACUCUAUCAUGAAAUCAUAUCACAACAAGCAUGCAGAGGAGUAGAUUUCAAUAUAAAAAAAGCAAGACCAAUACACAUGAACCAUUAUAAGGUCAACAAGUUCAAUUUACCUUUUGGGAACAUCUUUCCCUGGGAUACAUAGACAACAUGAACUAAUGUGGAAUGUGGUGUAAUAAAAAUCAAUAAAGAAGGAAGGUGGACUACAUGCCAAGGUAGUAUCAAAACAUGAAACAUAGCAACUACGUGGAUAUCCUAGCUAGUAUUCCUAUGGGGGCAACAUAGUUCAAAAACUAGGAGAUAUUAAGUGGACCCUCUUUAUGAUACAUGCAUUGUGGUCUACAAUCUAAAGAGUACUUUGGUGAUCCUACCUUACUUAUGUAGGAAAGGAUAAUCCUCACUCUAGUUCACUCGGUGCUGAGCUAGAGUCCAUUUUUGAAAAGUCUUUAAGCCUUUAUGAUCAUUCAUAGCUUAGUUUAGGUCACAGGUCUACCCAUUGUAUAAUCAUCAUCAUCAAUAGCUAAAUAAGAAUUGCAUGAGUAUGAAUCCUUUGAUUACAAUAGUUAUAGGUGAAGUUAGCACAUUAAAAUCUUCACCAUCCUUAAAACUUUUAAAUCUUAAAACCAUAUCACACCAUAAUAAUCAAAAUAUUUCAAUUCAACAUCAUACCACCCUAUCAAUCCUAGUUCAAGGCAUGCUCCAAAAAAUUAUUAUGACUUAAUAAUAAUUACCAACAAUUUGAAGCAAAGGAUAGAGAUCAUAAGACUUACCAAGUCUCAUUCAUAAUUCAAUAUCAAGGUCUUACCAUCAACCCUCUAUUUAACCCAAUUUGGGUAUAAAUCAUUAUAUGUAAAUAAUCAACAUGGUAAAAACGCAAAAAGAAUCACUACAUCAAAAUUCAAUACUAGAUCAUAGCUUAAGACAUAAUACUUAGGUCAAUUCACCACUCACUUUAUAAUCUAGAUCAUCUUCUCAAGAACUAGCAUGAACAUUUACCAAUCAUCCUAAUUUUGUUCAUGAUUAGUGUACCAACAUCAAAUAGCAAUAAUUCAACAAAAUAACCAAGUAAACGUAAAAAAAAUCCCUAAUUCAAAUCUAGAUCAAACCUAGUGUCACGACCCAACCCGAUAGGCCGUGAUUAGUGCCCGUUUUGGACACCCACAUACAAACCUGCUAAGUAUGACCAACUGAAACUAAGACAAUAUGGAAUUUAAUCAAAUCAAGCCAACCCCAACGUCAUAUAUAUAUAUAAGAGGACCUGUCUCAUAAGGAGUCAUAACCAUUCAACCAUAACAGCAUACGCGAGCCGACAAGGCCGCCACUAUUCAAAGCAUAAUGAUGUACACAGCCGACAAGGCUGCCCCUGUACAAGCGGACAUCCCAAACAAACCAUGUCCAGACCAUUAUCCAAAACAUAUAUAUACAACCCACAUAAUGUCCACAGACCUCUAAGGGUACAUUAGUGAAACUCGACGGGACAGGGCCCCGCCAUACCCAUAGACGAGCAAAAGACUACACAAAAGUUAUGUACCAAAACGAAUGGGCUCCGGAACAGUGGAGCUCUCCCAAUCAGCAGAGUAGAUAUCCUAGGCGGGAGGAUCACCGAACUGCGCGUCUACACCUGCGGGCAUGAAACGCAGCCCCCCGAGGAAAGGGGGGUCAGUACGGACAAUGUACUGAGUAUGUAAAGCAUAAGGUAAAGAUGACAGGAUACCAAUGUGGCAACUCGAAACAAAAUAUCGCUACACAUAUACUUUUUAAGUGAAAAUCAUGCAUAUAUUUAACAUUUAAGGUGCCCAGCUUCCCUAGUAAGGGGCUUGGCAAAAUAAUCAUCACGUCAUCUCUGUCAUCAUCAUCAUCAUAACCAUCCUCAUCACCAAUCAUAUAUAUAAUAUACAUACCCGGCCCUCUAGUGAGGAACUCGGUGACAUAUGCAAGAAACUCCGCACGAAUAUUACCCGGCCCGGGACUCGGUGAAAUGAUAAAUGACUCUAUGCACGAGCAGAAUAUUAUGAGCAACCAUAUGCAAUUAAAAUCAUUCUUAUAACUCAAUAGAACAAUCAACGUGAACCAGCAAGGAGUAUUACCAAAGAUUAAUGUUUUAUCAAGAUUAUGAACCUUUAAUACGAUAUGAAAACGUAAAAUUUCAAUGACUCUAAGAAGCAUUACCAUAGAUAUUAGAGAUCAUCAUAGCCUUAGACAUAACCGAUAUAUAGAGGAAUAAUUGUGGAAGCAAGAAUAUACAUCACCUAGACGCUUUAGAGGUAAGUAUCAAAUCUGUCCGUUAUUCGCUUAUUUUUAAAAGUCAUGCCAAGCAAAGAAAGAAGGGACAACGUUACAUACCGUAUAAUCGAGCCGCACGUCCAAUAUUUACUGCUCAAGCUAUUAAUCUAUAACAAGCAACAAUCGUGCCGCAAUUAGAUAAACAUCGUGCUUUACUUUCUUGUAAGCUAGCUAAUAAUCUAACGAAAAUUCGGCAGCACCUCCCCUAUUUUCCUUACUUCGUCCCAAUCCGACAACAAUCCAAAUUAUCCACAACAAUACCAAUAACACAUAUAACCCAAAGAAUCAUAUUAAACAGCCCCCUCCCCAAAACAGUUCCAUCUCGGCAACUAUAUCAGCGAAGCAACGACACACCGAGUGAUAACUCGUUUUAUAGUUCGUAACACAUCUACCUUAUCGUAUUCAUCCUUUGGAGUAUAUACUCAUAAUCACAUUCAACAUAUACAUAAUGCCAAAACAGAAUUUUCCUGCAGUUUGCUUUAAUCAAAACAGCCCAAGCACCAACACGACACCACUAAUAAUCCGAUUAUGGUUUCCAUUCAUACUUAGUACAUUCAAUAACUAAAACAAACUUCCUAAGCUACUGGUCACGCCCCCUUCUUAAAAUUAAUGGAUAAUUAACAAGGGUAUUCUAAAGAAUUAACACACCAAACAAGGAGAUUACUAACCAAAUUAUUUGCAGCUGCUGGCCAAGAGUUGCAGGGUUGGUUUCUCCAUUUCCAUGGCUGCCUAAGACAAGUGGUGAAGAAGAAGAUGAUAUGCAGCAAUGCAUUUCACCACUUUAUAUAGCAUGGAGUGGAUUUCUCCACCUCAUUUAAUAGUAUGAAGUGGAGGCAGCCCCCCUCUACACCUGUCCACUAAGGCCAGCCCACAAUCUGAUCCCUUUUUAAUUUUUUUGCCUUGAGUGGUGGGGCCCAUUGAAUUAAAUCAGUCCAAAUUAGCCACUAAUUAAUCCCUCACUUAAAUUUAAUGGCACUUACAUUAGCCAACUCAUACUUAAUAUCACAUUUGGAAAUAACAUCCUUGCCUAAUAUUUCUUUACGUCUUCUAGAUCACGAUGCGCACUACGUAUAUAAAAAAAAUACGAGGCAUAACCUCCUUCCCCCCUUAGGAACAUUCGUCCUCGAAUGUUAAGUUAGCGUCUUGCAAAAACAAAUUCCAGCGAGGUCUCUCUAAAAGUUAUACCUAUCAACCUGCAUUCCGUAACUUACAGAUGCCUCACAGCUACAUAAUCUCAUAUCUAUCAAUAUAGUCAAGCUAGGAAUUGAAUUACCUGCAGGUACGGGGAACAAGUAAGGAUACUUAUUUUUCAUUUCGUCUUCCGCUUCCCAAGUCAUCUCCUCCCUAUUGUUAUUUUGCCACAACACUUUGACGGAAGCCACAUCCUUAGUACGUAACCUUCUAACCUGACGAUCAAGUAUAGCCACGGGUUUCUCCUCAUAUGACAACUCCUCUGUUACCUGAAUAUCAUCUACAGGGAAUACUCUAGAAGGAUCACCAAUACAUUUACGUAGCAUCGAUACAUGGAAGACUGGAUGUACCGCCUCCAAAUCAGAUGGUAGAUCCAACUCAUAGGCAACCUUGCCUAUCCUACGAACAAUCUGAUAAGGCCCAAUGUAUCUCGGACUGAGCUUCCCCUUCCUGCCGAAUCUCAUCACACCCCUCAUGGGUGAUACCUUCAGGAAUACCCAGUCACCAAUCUGAAACUCCAAAUCUCGACGCCGAUUAUCUGCAUAUGACUUCUGUCGACUCUGGGCUGCUAAUAAUCUUUCUUGAAUAAGCUUCACCUUGUCAACAGCUUGCUGAAUCACAUCCGGGCCUAUUAACUUAGUCUCGCCAACAUCAAACCAACCAAUAGGUGAUCUGCACUUCCUCCCAUAUAAGGCCUCGUACGGUGCCAUCUGGAUACUAGAAUGGUAGCUAUUAUUAUAGGCAAACUCAAUGAGCGGCAAGUGGUCAUUCCAGCUGCCUUUGAAGUCAAUAAUACAGGCCCGCAACAUAUCUUCUAGUGUCUGAAUAGUACGCUCAGCCUGCCCAUCAGUCUGAGGGUGAAAUGUUGUGCUAAGGUUCACCUGUGUCCCCAAUCCCUUCUGAAACGAUCUCCAAAAGUUGGCUGUAAAUUGAGCUCCUCUGUCUGAUAUAAUGGACGUGGGAACCCCAUGAAGUCUCACUAUCUCCCUGACAUAUAACCUCGCAUAAUCUUCAGCCGAAUAAGUAGUCCUGACUGGAAGAAAAUGGGCCGAUUUCGUCAGCCUAUCUACAAUAACCCAUAUAGAGUCAUACUUCCGUUGAGUGCGAGGUAAGCCUGUAAUGAAGUCCAUAUUAAUCAUCUCCCAUUUCCAAGUCGGGAUCUCUAUCUCCUGUAAUAAUCCACCAGGCUUUUGAUGUUCGAUCUUGACUUGUUGACAAUUUGGGCACUGAGCAACAAACUCUGCUAUGUCCUUUUUCAUGCCAUCCCACCAAUAUAAGCAUCUGAGGUCAUGAUACAUUUUUGUUGACCCUGGGUGAAUAGAAUAACGGGCAGAGUGUGCCUCUCCCAUAACUUGCCGUCGUAGCCCCGCAGUAUCGGGUACACACAAUCUGCCUUCAUAUCGUAACACUCCAUCAGGUGUAACCUUAAAUGGGGUCUUUUCCUUUUGAAGAGCUGCAUCUCUAUACUGUGCCAGAAUAGGGUCCUUGUAUUGGUGUCUCUUUACCUCAUCUAUGAUUGAGGACUCAGCAACCUCUCGAAUAGAAACUCCACUAUCUUCCGAAUUAGCUAGACGGACUCCAAGGCUGGAUAGCCGCUGAAUCUCCCGAACCAUAUCCCUCCCUUCUGGUUGUACAUCUGUCAAGCUACCCAUGGACUUACGGCUAAGAGCAUCUGCUACAACAUUCGCUUUCCCUGGAUGAUAUAAAAUAUCAACAUCAUAAUCCUUUAGCAACUCUAACCACCGCCUCUGUCGUAAGUUCAGCUCCUUCUGUUUAAAGAUAUAUUGGAGACUCUUAUGAUCUGUAUAGAUGUCCACAUGGACACCAUAUAAAUAAUGUCUCCAUAUCUUCAAGGCAUGAACCACGAUCGCUAAUUCCAGAUCGUGAGUAGGAUAGUUCUUUUCAUGCUUCCUAAGUUGUCGGGAGGCAUAGGCUAUAACUUUGCCAUGCUGCAUCAAUACACAUCCUAGCCCAACACCCGAAGCAUCACAAUAAAUAACAUAGCCGUCUGGUCCCUCUGGAAGAGUUAGGACUGGAGCUGUAGUCAAUUUGUCUUUUAAUAGCUGGAAGCUUCGCUCACAAGCAUCUGUCCACUGGAACUUGGCUGCCUUUUGAGUUAGCCUUGUCAAAGGCACUGAAAUUGAGGCAAACUUUUCUACGAAUCUCCUGUAAUAUCCUGCUAACCCCAAAAAGCUGCGUACAUCAAUAGGUGUCGUAGGUCUGGGCCAAGUCUUUACUGCCUCAAUCUUCUGCGUAUCUACCCGAAUACCAUCAGCUCCAAUAAUAUGCCCCAAGAAUGCCACUGAAGUCAACCAGAACUCGCACUUAGAAAAUUUAGCAUACAACUUCUGGUGCUGAAGCACCCUAAGUACCGUCCUUAAAUGAUCUGCAUGCUCCUCUUCUGAACGUGAAUAGACCAGAAUAUCGUCUAUAAAUACAAUAACAAACAUAUCAAGGAAUGGUUUAAAUACUCGAUUCAUUAAAUCCAUGAAUACCGCUGGAGCAUUAGUCAACCCAAAAGACAGCACUCUAAACUCAUAAUGCCCAUAUCGGGUCCGGAAUGCUGUCUUUGGAAUAUCUGCCUCCCUUACCCGCACCUGAUGAUAACCUGACCGCAAGUCUAUCUUUGAAAAACACUUUGCACCCUGCAACUGGUCAAAUAGAUCGUCAAUCCUUGGGAGGGGAUACCUGUUCUUUAUUGUUACUUUGUUCAACUGCCUAUAAUCAAUGCACAUCCGCAGCGACCCAUCCUUCUUCCUCACAAACAGUACUGGUGCUCCCCAAGGUGACGUACUAGGCCUGAUGAAGCCCUUUUCUAGCAAAUCCCUCAAUUGCUCUUUCAAUUCUUUCAACUCAGCAGGUGCCAUUCUAUAAGGAGGUAUAGAUAUAGGCUGGGUAUCUGGCAGUACAUCUAUAGUAAACUCUAUCUCCCGUUCUGGAGGAAGGCCUGGAAGUUCCUCGGGGAAUACAUUAGGAAAUUCAUUAACUACCGGGACUGAUUGAAGAGUCGGUGCCUCUGCCUUUAUGUCAUGCACCCAAAUCAGAUGGUAAAUAUAGCCUUUUCUAACCAUCUUCCCGGCCUUGAGGUAUGAAAUGAACUUACCUUUCGGCGAUACUGUACUUCCCUUCCACUCUAUAAUCGGUUCCCCUGGAAAUUGAAAUCGAACUAUCUUUCCUCUGUAAUCAACAUUAGCAUAACAAGCAGCCAACCAAUCCAUGCCCAUGAUAAUAUCAAACUCAAUCAUAUUUAACUCUAUUAGAUCUGCUACGGUAUGACGACUAUAUAUAGCUACUGAACAAUUCCUAUAUACUCGCGUAGCUAUGACAAAAUCUCCUACAGGUGUAGCUACCUCAAAUGGUUCUAUCAACUCAGACUCUAUUCUGAUCCUACUAGCAACAAAGGGAGAUAUAUAUGAUAAGGUGGAACCUGGGUCUAUCAAUGCAUACACACUUCGGGAGAAUAGUGAUAAUAUACCUGUGAUCACAUUAGGUGACGCCUCUUGAUCUUGCCUAUUAGUCAAAGCAUAUAUACGGUUUGAGGGACCACUAGAACUGGAAGCUCCACCACGUCCUCUACCACGGCCUGCUGGUGCCUGAAUACCCUGCCCCGUAGGGCGCAUAGCCACAGAAGAAGAUGAACCAGCAACGGACCCUGUAGGCUGUGCCAUACCACCUGCACUACCUCUAAGGUGACACUCCCUCAUAGUAUGGCCUUGACGGCCGCAAGAAAAACACGCACCUGUAGCCCAACGACAUUUCCCAGGAUGGGACUUACCACAACGAGAACACCGAGGCAAAGGUGGCCUCGACUGGCUCAAACCCCUGCCUAUCUGUGACCCUGACGCCCUAGAGCUCUGACCAGGUUCCGAAUAUCCCAUACGAUCGAACCCCCUACCCAUGAAACGUGGGGGUGCACUCUGUGCUGGCUGGGAAGAAAAUCUAACAUGCUGCUGAGACUGCCUGCUUUGAAACUCGUCAGGAUAACCUGCUGAUCUAGCCCUCUUAUGCUGGCCUCUAUUAUAAUCUCUAUCUGGCUGACGUCCCCGGUGCCGAUCCUCUACCCCCUGUGCAUAUGCCUGCACCCGAGCAAUGUCCAUACCUGGCUGAAGAGUCACUGCCAUACAACCGUCAAUCAGAUAAUGAUCCAAUCCCAUCACAUAACGAUGUACCCUAUCUGCCAUAUCAGCAGCCAAUGAAUCAAACUCGAGGCUAUACUCUCGAACGCUCCUGCCAUUUUGCUUCAAACGCAAGAAUUUAUCGACUCUAGCUCGCUUCAUCUCUGGAGGCAGGAAGUGGCCCUGGAAAGCCUCCACAAAUUCAUCCCAUACCGCUGGAGGGGCACCCUCACCCCUAGAUAACUCCCAAGACUCAUACCAAUUAAUAGCUACAUCCCGCAAACGAUACGUAGCCAACUCAACAGACUCGGUCUCCGAAGCCUUGAUUAUCCUCAAUCUACGCUGCAUCUGACGAAUAAACUCUUGCGGAUCAUCCUGUGGCCUUGACCCAAAGAACUCUGGAGGAUUACAACUUAAGAAGUCACGAGCCCUUAAGCUAUCAGAUCUGUCCGCAUGAUCAACUCCUAGUCCAUGCCUGCGAGCCUGAUCUGCCACUAAUCUAGUCAGCAAUUGAACCGCAUCUCUCAUGGCCCUAUCCUCCGCCCCUGACUGAGGAGCUGGAGGUUCAGAUGUUGGGGCCUCGGGGGCUGGUGGUGUCCCCCGAACUGGAGCUGCUGCUGCUCUAAGCUCUUCUGGCGGUGGGGGUGUAGCAGAGCUCUCCGACUGGAGCAUAAUACUAGGCAUAGACUGGGCACGGGCCCUAGUAACUCUUCGGGUCUGACUAGUACCUUCUGCUACCGAUUUUCCCUUCUGGGCGGCUGUCGCUUUCUUUGGAGGCAUAGCUGAAAACACAUGGAUUCGUUAGAGAGGGAUUAUCCUGUUAAUAUAGCUCUAUCGCACGAUCUAGAAUAAGAAGAAAGAAUGACAUCAUAAAUGUCCUGUAGCUUCCUGUUUAUAGAUGUGGUGCACAACACACCGAUAAACAAGACUCUACUAGACACGGUCUGUAGACACUUUCGAGGAAGAACCGCUCUGAUACCACUCUUUGUCACGACCCAACCCGAUAGGCCGUGAUUAGUGCCCGUUUUGGACACCCACAUACAAACCUGCUAAGUAUGACCAACUGAAACUAAGACAAUAUGGAAUUUAAUCAAACCAAGCCAACCCCAACGUCAUAUAUAUAUAUAAGAGGACCUGUCUCAUAAGGAGUCAUAACCAUUCAACCAUAACAGCAUACGCGAGCCGACAAGGCCGCCACUAUUCAAAGCAUAAUGAUGUACACAGCCGACAAGGCUGCCCCUGUACAAGCGGACAUCCCAAACAAACCAUGUCCAGACCAUUAUCCAAAACAUAUAUAUACAACCCACAUAAUGUCCACAGACCUCUAAGGGUACAUUAGUGAAACUCGACGGGACAGGGCCCCGCCAUACCCAUAGACGAGCAAAAGACUACACAAAAGUUAUGUACCAAAAUGAAUGGGCUCCGGAACAGUGGAGCUCUCCCAAUCAGCAGAGUAGAUAUCCUAGGCGGGAGGAUCACCGAACUGCGCGUCUACACCUGCGGGCAUGAAACGCAGCCCCCCAAGGAAAGGGGGGUCAGUACGGACAAUGUACUGAGUAUGUAAAGCAUAAGGUAAAGAUGACAGGAUACCAAUGUGGCAACUCGAAACAAAAUAUCGCUACACAUAUACUUUUUAAGUGAAAAUCAUGCAUAUAUUUAACAUUUAAGGUGCCCAGCUUCCCUAGUAAGGGGCUCGGCAAAAUAAUCAUCACGUCAUCUCCGUCAUCAUCAUCAUCAUAACCAUCCUCAUCACCAAUCAUAUAUAUAAUAUACAUACCCGUCCCUCUAGUGAGGAACUCGGUGACAUAUGCAAGAAACUCCGCACGAACAUUACCCGGCCCGGGACUCGGUGAAAUGAUAAAUGACUCUAUGCACGAGCAGAAUAUUAUGAGCAACCAUAUGCAAUUAAAAUCAUUUCUUAUAACUCAAUAGAACAAUCAACGUGAACCAGCAAGGAGUAUUACCAAAGAUUAAUGUUUUAUCAAGAUUAUGAACCUUUAAUACGAUAUGAAAACGUAAAAUUUCAAUGACUCUAAGAAGCAUUACCAUAGAUAUUAGAGAUCAUCAUAGCCUUAGACAUAACCGAUAUAUAGAGGAAUAAUUGUGGAAGCAAGAAUAUACAUCACCUAGAUGCUUUAGAGGUAAGUAUCAAAUCUGUCCGUUAUUCGCUUAUUUUUAAAAGUCAUGCCAAGCAAAGAAAGAAGGGACAGCGUUACAUACCGUAUAAUCGAGCCGCACGUCCAAUAUUUACUGCUCAAGCUAUUAAUCUAUAACAAGCAACAAUCGUGCCGCAAUUAGAUAAACAUCGUGCUUUACUUUCUUGUAAGCUAGCUAAUAAUCUAACGAAAAUUCGGCAGCACCUCCCCUAUUUUCCUUACUUCGUCCCAAUCCGACAACAAUCCAAAUUAUCCACAACAAUACCAAUAACACAUAUAACCCAAAGAAUCAUAUUAAACAGCCCUCUCCCCAAAACAGUUCCAUCUCGGCAACUAUAUCAGCGAAGCAACGACACACCGAGUGAUAACUCGUUUUAUAAUUCGUAACACAUCUACCUUAUCGUAUUCAUCCUUUGGAGUAUAUACUCAUAAUCACAUUCAACAUAUACAUAAUGCCAAAACAGAAUUUUCCUGCAGUUUGCUUUAAUCAAAACAGCCCAAGCACCAACACGACACCACUAAUAAUCCGAUUAUGGUUUCCAUUCAUACUUAGUACAUUCAAUAACUAAAACAAACUUCCUAAGCUACUGGUCACGCCCCCUUCUUAAAAUUAAUGGAUAAUUAACAAGGGUAUUCUAAAGAAUUAACACACCAAACAAGGAGAUUACUAACCAAAUUAUUUGCAGCUGCUGGCCAAGAGUUGCAGGGUUGGUUUCUCCAUUUCCAUGGCUGCCUAAGACAAGUGGUGAAGAAGAUGAUGAUAUGCAGCAAUGCAUUUCACCACUUUAUAUAGCAUGGAGUGGAUUUCUCCACCUCAUUUAAUAGUAUGAAGUGGAGGCAGCCCCCCUCUACACCUGUCCACUAAGGCCAGCCCACAAUCUGAUCCCUUUUUAAUUUUUUUGCCUUGAGUGGUGGGGCCCAUUGAAUUAAAUCAGUCCAAAUUAGCCACUAAUUAAUCCCUCACUUAAAUUUAAUGGCACUUACAUUAGCCAACUCAUACUUAAUAUCACAUUUGGAAAUAACAUCCUUGCCUAAUAUUUCUUUACGUCUUCUAGAUCACGAUGCGCACUACGUAUAUAAAAAAAAUACGAGGCAUAACACCUAGGGUUAAGGGUUAAGGGUCAUCUUCUACAAACAAGAUGAAACAAUCAAGUUAUAUCAUAAUAAAGUUAGAAUAAAUAUCAGUCGAUUCAUAUUAUCCAAUAGAAAAGACAAACACACUAAUUCAUAACAUUAUUUUUGAGAAUGAGAAAGACACACAUAAAAACUCAUUUUUUGAAAACACUUUGAAAAAACCCUUUCAGGAAAGAGGUCUGAAGGUGAAUUAGAUGCUAUACCUCAAUAUUUGAUGGAUAAAUUAUGGUGAAAACAUCCCAUUACAUACCCCAAAACUCCCCCUAUCUUAGUCUUUAAUGGUGUCUUCCAAUAAGGAGAUAAAGAAGAGAGAAGGAUCACAAUUUUGGUUUCUGAGUUGUAAUUAGACUAAUGGGGUUGGGGUCUUUAUAUGGGUGGGGUGGGGUUAAUAAAGUUAAUUACUCUUUCUUAAUCAUAAACAACCACAAAACCUCAAUUAUUUUUGUAAAACAAAGUUAAAACAAUCUCGGAAAAUAGGACUUUUACAGAACUGAUCCCGUCGACGGUUUGUAUGUGAGUCGAUGACUAGUCCCUCCUCUAUGCUGCACACUUGUACAUUUGGUAAGAGACUCUGCAAAUGAGGGACUCCAACAACUUGGGUAAGUGUUGGUAUACAGUUAUAAUUGACGCCCCAUCGAUCAACACACGCCCCCGUCUAUGCCGUUUUGUUGGUGAACACUGUUGAGGCAGUGUUUGACUCAACCUGCAACGGUCCUCCUCAAGAGCCCUUGGUUUGUCCUUGGGUAUUCGUACCCAGACUUUUAGACUAUGAAUCUACUUAAACAUAUUUUAGACACUCUUCCACCAAUUUUCAUCAUUUUCCUAUUUAGAGGUCCAUGUAAACCUCCUUGCUAUAUAAGCAAACAUUUUUACUUUUCUUGUAUUUUAUUACCUAUGAUGUGCUAUAAUGAAUACUAAGGGAUUGUUUUAGUACUCAUAGAGGAUGACGACACCGAUGAGAACAAGGGUGUACUUUGGGUCGUUUCAAACAUUGUAUCAGAGCAUUAGGUUAAAGUAAAUCAUAGGAUUGAUGUCUCACUAAACCACGUCCAUGAGAGACUAUAUGAUGUUUAGCAAAUAUCACUCUAUAAUUAUUCCUUAUUCAUGCCUAGGAGUCCUAGAUCCAUUUAGUCCUUUCUUCUUAUCUUUUUUUUGUCCUUAUAGGCAAUGGAUAGAAGGAAGAACAAUGCUCAAAGGGACAGAGGGAUAAUUUGAAUGAGGCGGUUCCCCCUCAACUCCUCAAAACCCUCAAGUUCCUAAUGAAGAUGGGGAUAUGUCUAAUGAUGAGAUAAGGUAGACCACUAAUAGCUUGUCUCAAAUGUUGGCUACCCAUGAUUCUUGGGAUGCACGAGUAAAGUGAAUCCCAAUUCUAACACUAUCGCAUAAAGGAUUAGGGAUUUCCCUAGGAUGAAUCCUCCUACUUUCUUUGGCUCUAAGGUAGAGGAGGACCCACAAGGGUUCAUUGAUAAAGUGUUAAAUGUUUUUGAUUUUAUGGGUUUUUUUAAGAAAAGGAGGAACUAGUCGUCUUUCAAUUCAAAGACAUAGCUCAAAUUUGGUAUGAGCAAUGAAAGGCUGAGAGGCCUCUUAUAGAAGGCCAAAUUUCUUGGGGAUCUUUGAAAAUGGCUUUCCUUGAUAGGUUAUUUCCCUUGGUAGUUAGGAAGAGAAAAAUAAAAGAAUUUAUCAACCUUCGUUUAGGGUGUAUGAGCGCGAAAGAGUAUAGCCUCAAGUUCACUCAACUAUCUAAGUAUGCUCCUACUAUGGUUGCGGAUUCUAGAGAUAAUAUGAAUGAAUUUGCUAUGGGUAUAGCCGAUCUUGCGGUUUAUGAGUGUAAGUCGGAUAUGUUCAUUCCUAGCAUACACAUCUCUCUUCUCAUGGUUCAUGUCAAAAAAAUUGAGGAGCAAAAGCUUAAGAGAGUUGGUAGGGAGUCGAAGAAGGUAAGAACCGAAUAUGGAAAUUCUUCCAUGGCUAAUUUUGAGGUACCAGACAAACCACGGUUCAAAAGGAGGUGUUCAAACUAAGGCCAUUCUAAUUCUCCAAGGGUUAACAAGAUUAAGGUGACUACUCCCAAGCCCCAAGAGGGGAAAGGUGGUAGAUCUUAUGUUGAGAAGCCUCUUAGUGCAAAAUCUGAUAAGAGACAUGAUGGUAUGUGUCUUGAUUGCACGGGAAAUUAUUAUGGUUUUUUAAAGAGAGUGGUUAUAUGAAUAGAUAUUUCCUUAUGAUGAAGUCUCAAGGAAGGGAAAAUUCUCAAGCUCAAGCAAGUUCCCCAAACUGCUUUAAUCCUCUGCAAUCCCGAAGUGAUCAAGAGAGCUCACCGGACGUGUUCACCGUUAUGUUUAGAUUUUUUUUAUGUAUAUGCUUUGUUGGAUCUGAGAUAUACGUUGUCAUUUGUGACCCCUCUUGUAGCCAUGAAAUUUUAAAUUCCACCCGACAUAUUAGAGAAACCUUUUUCGGUUUCUACCAGGUAGGUGCUUUUGUGGUGGUUAAUAGAGUCUGUAAAGAUUGUCCUAUUUCCUUUCCUAAUAAGGUUACAUUAGUUGACUUGAUAUAACUUGAUAUGCUAGAUUUUGAUGUCAUAUUGGGAAUGGACUGGUUGCAUGCUUAAUUUUCUUUUAUUGAAUGUAGGACAAGGGUAGUUAAAUUUAAAUUUCCAAAUGAACCCAUUUUUAGUGAAAGGGAGGAAAAUCAAAUCCUAGGGGAAAGAUUAUUUCAUAUAAAAAAUCUUACCAAUUGAUUGUGAAAGGUUGUCUCUAUAACAAAGUAAGAGAUAGGAAUAUUAAAUUCAAAGUACCUUCUAUAGAUUCGGUACCUGUAGUAAGGAAAUUUCCAAAGGACUUUCCCGAUGACCUUCUCGGAAUUCCUCUCGAAGGGGAGACAUACUUCAGAAUAGAUUUUUUGCCAGAUACACAACCUAUUUCCAUCCCCUCCUUAUCGUAUGUCCCCAGCCUAGUUAAAAGAACUAAAGUCUUACGGAUUUGCUACAAAAGGGUAUUAUUCAACCUAACUUAUCUCCAUGGUUUCCCCGAUAUUGUUUGUGAAUAAGAAUAAUGGUUCUUUGAAAAUGUAUAUCGACUUAAUUGAGAAAAGCCACUAUAACGAAUAUGUACCUGCUCCAUAGGAUAGAUCACUUUUUUGAUCAACACAAUGGAGCAAGCUACUUUUUGAAAAUUGACUUGAGGUCGGGUUAUCAACAUAGAGUGAGAAAGGUUGAUAUUCCAAAAACAACUUCCUGAACAUGAUAUGGCCGCUUUAAGUUUCAAUUGAUGUUAUUUGGUCUAACAAAUGCCCUGGCAACGUUCAUGGACCUUGUGAAUCGAAUUGUUAGAAAGUAUCUUGAUUUGUUUGUGAUUAUCUUCAUUGAUGACAUUUUUAUAUACUCUACGAGUGAGAAUGAUCAUAUAAUACAUUUGAUGAUAAUUUUGAAUGUUCUCAAGGAUAAAAAACUUUUUUCUAAGUUUAGAAAGUGUGAGUUAGGGUUGAGAUCGGUUGCAUUUCUUGGUCACAUUGUCUCUAGUGAAGGGGUGGUGGUUGAUCUAACAAAGAUGAAAGUGGCCAAGAGUUGUCCUACACCUUUGACUCCUACCGCACACAAUGUUUUCUAGGGUUGGCCGAUUUUUAUAGGAGGUUUGUUGAGGGAGUUUCGUAUAUCACAUUGUUAUGCCUCGUAUUUUUUUUAUACGUAGUGCGCAUCGUGAUCUAGAAGACGUAAAGAAAUAUUAGGCAAGGAUGUUAUUUUCAAAUGUGAUAUUAAGUAUGAGUUGGCUAAUGUAAGUGCCAUUAACUUUAAGUGAGGGAUUAAUUAGUGGCUAAUUUGGAUUGAUUUAAUCCAAUGGGCCCCACCACUCAUAAUUGGUGGCUGAUUAGGAUUAAUUUAAUCCAGUGGGCCCCACCACUCAAGGCAAAAAUUAAAAAGGGAUCAGAUUGUGGGCUGGCCUUAGUGGACAGGUGUAGAGGGGGGCUGCCUCCACUUCAUACUAUUAAAUGAGGUGGAGAAAUCCACUCCAUGCUAAAUAAAGUGGUGAAAUGCAUUGCUGCAUAUCAUCUUCUUCUUCACCACUUGUCUUAGGCAGCCAUGGAAAUGGAGAAGCCAACCCUGCAACUCUUGGCCAGCAGCUGCAAAUAAUUUGGUUAGUAAUCUCCUUGUUUGGUGUGUUAAUUCUUCAGAAUACCCUUGUUAAUUAUCCAUUAAUUUUAAGAAGGGGGCGUGACCAGUAGCUUAGGAAGUUUGUUUUAGUUAUUGAAUGUGCUAAGUAUGAAUGGAAACCAUAAUCGAAUUAUUAGUGGUGUCGUGUUGGUGCUUGGGCUGUUUUGAUUAAAGCAAACUGCAGGAAAGUUCUGUUUUGGCAUUAUGUAUAUGUUGAAUGUGAUUAUGAGUAUAUACUCCAAAGGAUGAAUACGAUAAGGUAGAUGUGUUGCGAAUUAUAAAACGAGUUAUCGCUCGGUGUGUCGUUGCUUCGUUACUAUGGUUGCCGAGACAGAACUGUUUUGGGGAGGGGGCUGUUUAAUAUGAUUCUUUGGGUUAUAUGUGUUAUUGGUAUUGCUGUGGAUAAUUUGGAUUGUUGUCGGAUUGGGACGAAGUAAGGAAAAUAGGGGAGGUGCUGCCGAAUUUUCGUUAGAUUAUUAGCUAGCUUACAAGAAAGUAAAGCACGAUGUUUAUCUAAUUGCGGCACGAUUGUUGUUUGUUAUAGAUUAAUAGCUUGAGCAGUAAAUAUUGGACGUGCGGCUCGAUUAUACGGUAUGUAACGCUGUCCCUUCUUUCUUUGCUUGGCAUGACUUUUAAAAAUAAGCGAAUAACGGACAGAUUUGAUACUUAUCUCUAGAGCGUCUAGGUGACGUAUAUUCUUGCUUCCACAAUUAUUCCUCUAUAUAUCGGCUAUGUCUAAGGCUAUGAUGAUCUCUAAUAUCUAUGGUAAUGCUUCUUAGAGUCAUUGAGAUUUUACGUUUCCAUAUCGUAUCAAAGGUUCAUAAUCUUGAUAAAACAUUAAUCUUUGGUAAUACUCCUUGCUGGUUCACGUUGAUUGUUCUAUUGAGUUAUAUGAAAUGAUUUUAAUUGCAUAUGGUUGCUCAUAAUAUUCUGCUCGUGCAUAGAGUCAUUUAUCAUUUCACCGAGUCCCGGGCCGGGUAAUGUUCAGGCGGAGUUUCUUGCAUGUCACCGAGUUCCUCACUAGAGGGCCGGGUAUGUAUAUUAUAUAUAUGAUUGGUGAUGAGGAUGGUUAUGAUGAUGAUGAUGACAGAGAUGACGUGAUGAUUAUUUUGCCGAGCCCGCUGGGCACCUUAAAUGUUAAAUAUAUGCAUGAUUUUCACUUAAAAGGGUAUAUGUGUAGCGAUAUUUUGUUUCGACUUGCCAUAUUGGUAUCCUGUCAUCUUUACCUUAUGCUUUACAUACUCAGUACAUUGUCCGUACUGACCCCCCUUUCCUCGGGGGGCUGCGUUUCAUGCCCGCAGGUGUAGACGCACAGUUCGGUGAUCCUCCCGCCUAGGAUAUCUACUCUGCUGAUUGGGAGAGCUCCACUGUUCCGGAGCCCAGUCGUUUUGGUACAUUACUUUUGUGUAGUCUUUUGCUCGUCUAUGGGUAUGGCGGGGCCCUGUCCCGUCAAGUUUCACUAAUGUACUCUUAGAGGUCUGUGGACAUUAUAUGGGUUGUAUAUAUAUGUUUUGGAUAAUGGUCUGGACAUGGUUUGUUUGGGAUGUCCGCUUGUACAGGGGCAGCCUUGUCGGCUGCGUACAUCAUUGUGUAUUGUGUAGUGGCAGCCUUGUCGGCAUACAUAUGUUAUUAUGCUUUGAAUAGUGGUGGCCUUGUCGGCUCGCGUAUGCUGUUAUGGUUGAAUGGUUAUGACUCCUUAUGAGACAGGUCCUCUUAUAUAUAUAUGACGUUGGAGUUGGCUUGAUUUGAUUAAAUUCCAUAUUGUCUUAGUUUCAGUUGGUUAUACUUAGCAGGUUUGUAUGUGGGUGUCCAAAAUGGGCACUAGUCACGGCCCAUCGGGUUGGGUCGUGACAAAGAGUGGUAUCAGAGCGGUUCUUCCUCAGAAGUGUCUACAAACCGUGUCUAGUAGAGUCUUGUUUAUCGGCGUGUUGUGCACCACAUCUAUAAACAGGAAGCUACAGGACAUUUAGGAUGUCAUUUUUUCUUCUUAUUCUAGAUCGUGCGAUAGAGCUAUAUUAACAGGAUAAUCCCUCUCUAACGAAUCCAUGUGUUUUUAGCUAUGCCUCCAAAGAAAGCGACAGCCACCCAGAAGGGAAAAUCGGUAGCAGAAGGUACUAGACAGACCCGGAGAGUUACUAGGGCCCGUGCCCAGUCUAUGCCUGGUAUUAUGCUCCAGUCGAAGAGCUCUGCUACACCCCCACCGCCAGAAGAGCUUAGAACAGCAGCAGCUCCAGUUCGGGGGACACCACCAGCCCCCGAGGCCCCAACAUCUGAACCUCCAGCUCCUCAGUCAGGGGUAGAGGAUAGGGCCAUGAGAGAUGCGGGUCAAUUGCUGACUAGAUUAGUGGCAGAUCAGGCUCGUAGGCAUGGACUAGGAGUUGAUCAUGCAGACAGAUCUGAUAGCUUAAGGGCUCGUGACUUCUUAAGUUGUAAUCCUCCAGAGUUCUUUGGGUCAAGGCCCCAGGAUGAUCCGCAAGAGUUUAUUCGUCAGAUGCAGCGUACAUUGAGGAUAAUCAAGGCUUCGGAGACCGAGUCUGUUGAGUUGGCUACCUAUCGUUUGCGGGAUGUAGCUAUUAAUUGGUAUGAGUCUUGGGAGUUAUCUAGGGGUGAGGGUGCUCCUCCAGCGGUAUGGGAUGAAUUUGUGGAGGCUUUCCAGGGCCACUUCCUGCCUCCAGAGAUGAAGCGAGCUAGAGUCGAUAGAUUCUUGCGUUUGAAACAAAAUGGCAGGAGCAUUCGAGAGUAUAGCCUCGAGUUUGAUUCAUUGGCUAGGCAUGCACCUACUAUUGUGGCUGAUAUGGCAGACAGGGUACAUCGUUAUGUGAUGGGAUUGGAUCGUUAUUUUAUUGACGGUUGUAUGGCAGUGACUCUUCAGCCAGGUAUGGACAUUGCUCGGGUGCAGGCAUAUGCACAAGGGGUAGAGUAUCGACACGGGGACGUCAGCCAGAUAGAGAUUAUAAUAGAGGCCAGCAUAAGAGGGCUAGAUCAGCAGGUUAUCCUGACGAGUUUCAAAGCGGGCAGUCUCAGCAGCAUGUUAGAUUUUCUUCCCAGCCAGCACAGAGUGCACCCCCACGUUUCAUGGGUAGGGGGUUCGAUCGUAUGGGAUAUUCGGAAGCUGGUCAGAGCUCUAGGGCGUUAGGGUCACAGAUGGGCAGGGGUUUGAGCCAGUCGAGGCCACCUUUGCCUCGGUGUUCUCGUUGUGGUAAGUCCCAUUCUGGGGAAUGUCGUUGGGCUACAGGUGCGUGUUUUUCUUGCGGCCGUCAGGGCCAUACUAUGAGGGAGUGUCACCUUAGAGGUAGUGCAGGUGGUAUGGCACAGCCUACAGGGUCCGUUGCUGGUUCAUCUUCUUCUGUGGCUAUGCGCCCUACGGGGCAGGGUAUUCAGGCGCCAACAGGCCGUGGUAGAGGACGUGGUGGAGCUUCCAGUUCUAGCAGUCCCUCAAACCGUAUAUAUGCUUUGACUAAUAGGCAAGAUCAGGAGGCGUCACCUAAUGUGAUCACAGGUAUAUUAUCACUAUUCUCCCGAAGUGUGUAUGCAUUGAUAGACCCAGGUUCCACCUUAUCAUAUAUAUCUCCCUUUGUUGCUAGUAGGAUCGGAAUAGAGUCUUAGUUGAUAGAACCAUUUGAGGUAGCUACACCUAUAGGAGAUUUUGUCAUAGCUACGCGAGUAUAUAGGAAUUGUUCAGUAGUUAUAUAUAGUCGUCGUACCGUAGCAGAUCUAAUAGAGUUAAAUAUGAUUGAGUUUGAUAUUAUCAUGGGCAUGGAUUCGUUGGCUGCUUGUUAUGCUAAUGUUGAUUGCAGAGGAAAGAUAGUUCGAUUUCAAUUUCCAGGGGAACCGAUUAUAGAGUGGAAGAGAAGUACAGUAUCGCCGAAAGGUAAGUUCAUUUCAUACCUCAAGGCCGGGAAGAUGGUUAGAAAAGUCUAUAUUUACCAUCUGAUUCGGGUGCAUGACAUAAAGGCAGAGGCACCGACUCUUCAAUCAGUCCUGGUAGUUAAUGAAUUUCCCGAUGUAUUCCCCGAGGAACUUCCAGGCCUUCCUCCAGAACAGGAGAUAGAGUUUACUAUAGAUGUACUGCCAAAUUCCCAGCCUAUAUCUAUACCUCCUUAUAGAAUGGCACCUGCUGAGUUGAAAGAAUUGAAAGAGCAAUUGAGGGAUUUGCUAGAAAAGGGCUUGAUCAGGCCUAGUACAUCACCUUGGGGAGCACCGGUACUGUUUGUGAGGAAGAAGGAUGGGUCGCUGUGGAUGUGCAUUGAUUAUAGGAAGUUGAACAAAGUAACAUCAAAGAACAGGUAUCCCCUCCCAAGGAUUGACGAUCUAUUUGACCAGUUGCAGGGUGCAAAGUGUUUUUCAAAGAUAGACUUGCGGUCAGGUUAUCAUCACGUGCGGGUAAGGGAGGCAGAUAUUCCAAAGAUGGCAUUCCGGACCCGAUAUGGGCAUUAUGAGUUUAGAGUGCUACGAUAAGGUAGAUGUGUUGCGAAUUAUAAAAUGAGUUAUCGCUCGGUGUGUCGUUGCUUCACUACUAUGGUUGCCGAGACGGAACUGUUUUGGGGAGGGGCUGUUUAAUAUGAUUCUUUGGGUUAUAUGUGUUAUUGGUAUUGCUGUGGAUAAUUUGGAUUGUUGUCGUAUUGGGACGAAGUAAGGAAAAUAGGGGAGGUGCUGCCGAAUUUUCGUUAGAUUAUUAGCUAGCUUACAAGAAAGUAAAGCACGAUGUUUAUCUAAUUGCGGCACGAUUGUUGCUUGUUAUAGAUUAAUAGCUUGAGCAGUAAAUAUUGGACGUGCGGCUCGAUUAUACGCUGUCCCUUCUUUCUUUGCUUGGCAUGACUUUUAAAAAUAAGCGAAUAACGGACAGACUUGAUACUUACAUCUAAAGCGUCUAGGUGACGUAUAUUCUUGCUUCCUUAAUUAUUCCUCUAUAUAUCGGCUAUGUCUAAGGCUAUGAUGAUCUCUAAUAUCUAUGGUAAUGCUUCUUAGAGUCAUUGAGAUUUUACGUUUCCAUAUCGUAUUAAAGGUUCAUAAUCUUGAUAAAACAUUAAUCUUUGGUAAUACUCCUUGCUGGUUCACGUUGAUUGUUCUAUUGAGUUAUAAGAAAUGAUUUUAAUUGCAUAUGGUUGCUCAUAAUAUUCUGCUCGUGCAUAGAGUCAUUUAUCAUUUCACCGAGUCCCAGGCCGGGUAAUGUUCGUGCGGAGUUUCUUGCAUAUGUCACCGAGUUCCUCACUAGAGGGCCGGGUAUGUAUAUUAUAUAUAUGAUUGGUGAUGAGGAUGGUUAUGAUGAUGAUGAUGACGGAG